AAUUCUAGCACUUUGGCACCACUUUAACUGUCAUAGUUCCAUCCUAUGUAAUCCUGAGGUUUGUCAUCUGUUGCAGCAUCAGGGUUCUCUGAAAGAAAAGGGUGAUUCCAUGCAGAGAUGUUAGAUGGGAUUCCUGCAGGAAACUAUAAAUCAGAGGCCAAGGAAUCAAAUAGGACACACAGGAAACCUUUCAUGAAGAACUGGGAUCAUUGUUCAUCCUAAACCCUCCAUUGGCUUACCUUCCCAGACAUUCCUCCAAGCAGUCCUGAACGAUUCUAUAAUCAACACUGAGAAGUUGCAGAACUAAUAGAAAAACUCAACUGGCUGAAUGUCCAGUGAAUAUCAUCUGCCUAAAUGGACUUUGUCUCAACCCCAAAUCAUGCCAGAACACAAACUGAAAUAAGUACAGUCUCUACCCUAAUCUAUAGAUUCUAGAUAACCUAUUUCUUUUUCGAGAUCAUGAAACUGAGAAGCCAGAAUGUGCUGUGUGUCAAAAGACCUCAAGGAGUCUUUGCAGUAGUGUCAAAGCACAAUAUCUGUAUAAAAUAGCUUGUGACUCUGAGCUAAUCAUCUCAGGAAAAAUAUGAGGUGUUGCAUUUGAUCUGAAGUGCUAAAGCACAACUUUUUUUCCUGACAUCUUGGAACCAGCAAGUACCAGAGAGUAAUUUCGUAAUACUGUAGUCACCCAUUGGGCAUGAUUAUUUUGAGAGAUGCUGAGACAAGCCAGACAGAAUUUAUUGGCCUUAAACUCGCUCUUGAGGGUGCAAACACUCACCCACUAAUAGGAAAAGCACCUUUUGUGGCAAAGGUGAUCAUCCACAAGGCAUGUUUACUUUGAAAUAGAAAACAGUGAGAGUAAUUUACUCUGCACUUGAAAGGCAGGCCAAAAACAUACACCUUGACUUAGAUAUUAGAAAAGCUGACAUAUACCAUUCUGCAUUUAAUAAACAAAAACAAAAUGGAGAGAAAAGUAAAAAUUAUUUUAUUGUAAUUCCCGAUAAGCUAUUAGUGUAAAAAUAUGAUACAUAACAUUUGAAAAUAUUUCAGUUUUUAUUAGGCAUUACCUUUUCUUGAGCAUUUUUAUAAUGUUCACUGAUGAAAUGCAAUGAUGUCUUUUAGUAAGACAUUAAAAAUGAAUCAUCUAGUUUUUAUGGAUUAUGAGAUAAUGAAUACAGGUGAUACAAAUUCUUAUACCGCCUAUGUUUAUUUUUACCAUUGAAACGUAUACAUGGAAAAAUACCCUUUUACAGUGAUUCUAGCAAAGCUUAUGUGAAUAACCUCAAUGUUCAAGUCAGUUUUUCCCCUGAUGUUUACCACUAUGCCUUAAGGAAGAAUACUUGUUUUGCUUUCUAUAACAGAGAGUAAAAUAUAAAUACCUGUCCCCAUUGUCUAGGUGCCCUGAAUCCUGUUUUCUCCAACUUCUAAAACUAAGGUUAUUUGAAACAUUACAAUUUAAAUUGCGACAAACUGCAAUUUUACCUCUGAUAAUGAUUAUACAUAUAAUGGUUAUUGCAAGCCAUUUGGGGUUUCAUAAUGGUGGAAAUGCAAUUAAAUAAAUAAAUAUUAUAGUGGAGGGAUUGCAUUAGGACAUAUGGUGACUCUAAAAGAAACAUACCACAGGAGUUUCUUUACAAGACUUUUUCAAAGGAUGUUUGCCUUUACCUUCCUCUGAGGUUGGGAGAUUGUGACUUGCCCAAGGUCAUCCAGUGGGUUUCUAUGGUAAAUGAGGGACUUGAACUCUGAGCUCCAUAGUUUGAGUCCAACAAACAGACUACUUUUGUAUUUAUACUAAUUUGCAAAAAUUGUUUUGAUCAAAUGAAAGGAUAUGCCUCUAUUUAUCAUGAAUAUUACAAACAACACAUUGGCUAGAAUUCUUAAUUAUAUAUACGUAUGUCAGCA
Molecule: long non-coding RNA, 1899 nt
Organism: Anolis carolinensis (green anole)
Lineage: Eukaryota; Metazoa; Chordata; Lepidosauria; Squamata; Anolidae
Exons: 2
Source: RefSeq, a predicted model, not a curated record